GUCUAUCCCGCCCUCCUGUGGGGCAGGGCGUGCUGGGCCCUCUGCAGGUCGGCGGGUGACAGCUUGCGCCCUUUCGCGCAGGGACUCGGCCACCAUGAGGAGGGGUCAGGGGCUCAGGAUUCGGAGACCAGGCAGCCUCAUUAGCCUUAAGCGCCUGCCCUGAGACAGCCUGAGAGGAGCAAGAGCUUCUCCAAGGAUCUCCUCGUGAAUUCAGACCUCGGAAAUAAUGAAAACAUUUAUAUUUCCAGUUUUUAUCUAGAAUUCUCAAAAGUAUCGAAGCUAUUGCAAUUCAUAAUCUGCCUCGACAUAAUUUCGAAAUCAAAGGAACAAAAACAACUUACCUGAAAAAGUAGGUCUCGGCCCGCUGGUAAUGUCCAGGUGUGAGUCUGAGGGGAGGGUACUCGGUGGCCAGGGGUCUCACCAUGAACAAGCCCAUGGCCAAGGCCACGAAGAGGACUGGCAGCAGCAGGUCGGCGAGGGUGCUCUUCCCGGCGCGCAGCGUGCGGCGGAGCCUCCGGGCCAGGAUCGCGGCCACUUGUGCGCGGAGCAGCUGGACGCCCUGCACAGUUGCGGGCCGUGCUAGGGAGCCACCUGCAGGACGGGCGGGAGGAAGGGCGGCUGGGUCAGCUCUGCGGAGGUGACAGCGCUUUGCCUCGUUUGCCCUCUCGGUGACCCUGCGGCAUCUCGCAGCCAUGGGAAUGCGACGCAGGCCCACCCCAUGAGGACUCCCUUGAGUGUCCCCUUUAUGCACCUAAAGUGCGGAAGCUGGGCCUUGGGCCGGAAGGCUGCAAUGCAAGAGGAAGCCUCGUGGCAACGCGUGGCAGGAGCAGGGCGUGUGAGCUCCGCUGCGCUUAGAGCGGACGACACACCUGGGCUGCUCCUUUGCUUCCUCCUCCUCUCUCCCACCAUCCUUUUCCUCUCUGUUCUUAACUCCAGGUCUCUCCUGGGAAAACCCCAGCUUAUGUGUGGGUCGGGAUUCAUUCAGGGAAUAACCCCACGGCCUGCUUUUCCUCAGUUCCACCGUCCCUGCACCCCGCCCCCGCUCCUCCCGGCGCCUUCCACUUCCCCGCAGGGCAUAGGAGAGCCCGGCGCCUGCCCACUGCGCCUCCCUGCUCCCGCUUCCCUGCUCUGGGGGACGCAGCGAAUGUGAAAACAUCCUCAGCUAUCAGAGCGAUCCACAAGCAAAAUUCGAAAGGAAAGCGUGAGCUGUGCAUCAUUCAUCUACUGAUCAUCCGGCCACGCUCCCUCAAGAGUGAUCCUUUGGAGCCUCUACCAACGAAUCUCAGUAAAUCUCCUGGAGUUGAGGUUGCACGUUCCAAACAAGCUGUGGAGAGCAGCUUUUCUGUCCACUGGGUGGAUGAGAAGCUGGGAGCAGAGACAGAGGUAGCCCAUGGACUGCAGUCUUAAACGACGUCCAAAGCAGGACUCAGCCGGAUCAAUCAGCUGUGGUGAUAGUUUUUCCCAGUGAUUGACUCUAAAGUACUCCAGAAAAUCCAAUAUGAAGUAUUUCACAAGAAAGGCAGUCUUAUAAAGAACAGAUGUACUAAACGGAUUGUACUGCUCACAAACACCAAACUGAAAUACAGUUAAUAGAGAGCAGCAAACAAGUUUGAAGACCCAAAAGAGAACAUUUUUAAAGAAGCUGUACCAUGUGAAAGAGACAUCAUUUGUCACAGCAUUGAGAACAGAAUUGUAGAGGGGUCAUGGGGAUAAAAAUGCAUAUCUGAGAAAACUUCAUUUGGGAUAUUUACUGAGUGCCCAGUGUGUGCAGGCGCUGGGCUCUUUGGUUUCUGUCCCCAACAUACGGGUUGAGAUAAAAAUGUAAAGAAAUAACCCAGCACACUGUAACAAAGUGUCAGGCUGGAAAGAGUCGGUACCAAGGAGUGAGUCCUUGGGAUGCUGAGGAAAAAGUGAGAAACAGGCCAAGCGGCCCGGACGUUCAGGUAGAAUCCUUGAGAUCCCUGGGAGUUUACAGGCAGACAAGAAAAUGUGGAAGUCUAAAGAUCAAAACAGGAGGUAUAAAUAGGCCUGGCAUUCUCUGUGAAUAGCAAGGAAACAGAAUGUGGCACAUCCGUGUAGCAAGUGGCAGGAGAUGAGAGUUAAAAGUGAUCAGAAACCAAGACAAGAAAGACCUGCACACCCAUUUUUAAGGAUUUCAGGGUUUGUGCUGGACAGAAGACUUCCAAACCCAGUAGUCACUUGGGCUGAGUCACAUGUUAGACUUCCAAAUUAUAAGGCAAAUUAGUAUUUAAUUUUAAUGAAUAAAGUUCUAAUGAGGAUGAGGCAUUAGGUAGUUAAAGCAGUGGUUUCUAAACCAGGCUGCAUAUCAGAUUAACCUGGGAACAUUUUAAAUGCUGGUUGCCAGGCCCUAUCUCAGAAAAAAAAAAAAAAAUCCCAAUCUCCAGAGACUCAGAGUUAAAAGUGUGUUUUUAUAACUUCCCAGAAGAUUGAAAUUCUCAGCCAGUCUAUGGAACCACUGAUUUAAUGCAUUUAUCAAUGGUGAUCCAUAUACAGCUCUCAUAAAGCAGUUAUUAAGUCAGCAUAUAGACAGAUUAUAUUGCUAGGAAAAAAGUAUGUCAUUAAACUAAAUUUUAUAUCUCUACCUAUCUAUCUAUCUAUAUAUAUACACACAUACAAGUAUAUACACUCUUCUUGAUGAUUUUAUGAGGUUAUAGUGCUGGAUAACACCAAUUCUAUUAAGUCUGCAUAUUUAUUAGGAUAAGUAUUUGAAUUCUCUAACUCAAGCUAAAAUAACUGGGAUGUUUUUGGGUGCCCAUCCCUGGAUUUCUAAAAGUAAUUACUGAAAUAAUUACUUGAUAUCUUCACAGCCCUUUGACCAAGAAGCUCUUUCUCUGACAAGGUAAAAUGCCAUACUUUGUUCAGGCUUAAAAGGAACUGAAUAGCCACAGUUCACCAAAUGUCACAACCUACAAAUUAGCCUUUACGUAGCAGCUUUUGACAUUCACAUCUAGCCACCCAUUCUUAGCCACCUGCCAAACUGUGCACCUUCUCAUAUUUGUGUACAGCAGGGAAAUGGCUGUAAAUACCUGCUUAGUUGGCAGAAGAGAUAUUUGUUAAGUGAUACAAAACUGACAUGACUAAACAAGUAUUGGAUAUCUACUUAGCAAUUAGCUCUGGUAACAGAAAAGGAAUAGAGUAGACUCAGAGAGUGGUGAUUUAUGUGCACACUGGCCUGGGUUCAUUGAGAACAAUCAUCAGAGCCACUGUGGGGUGGGGAACAUUCAAUUUUUUAAUCCUGGAUUUGAAUCUAAUCUCAGCCACCAACAUAUCGUGUGGAUUCUGGAACAUUAUUUAACCUCUCUGAAUGUCAUCUCCUCACUUGUAAAGUAGAGAUUUGUAAUAUUUUCCCUCUAUGUAAUGAGAAUUAUUAUUAGAACAGUUAUUAAACUGCCAGAAUAAACGUAAUGUUGACCCG
This 3436-nucleotide long non-coding RNA is filed under the name Homo sapiens (human). RNAcentral describes it as "non-protein coding lnc-SUN3-5:1". The record is from RNAcentral. Lineage: Eukaryota; Metazoa; Chordata; Mammalia; Primates; Hominidae.